ACUUACGGCCAUACCAUCCUGAAUACGCCCGAUCUCGUCUGAUCUCGGAAGCUAUGCAGGAUCGGUCCUGGUUAGUACUUGGAUGGGAGACCGCCUGGGAAUACCAGGUGCUGUAAAUG
This 119-nucleotide ribosomal RNA is filed under the name Hucho hucho (huchen). The record is from RNAcentral. Lineage: Eukaryota; Metazoa; Chordata; Actinopteri; Salmoniformes; Salmonidae.